CCUACGGGUGGCUGCAGUGAGGAAUAUUGGUCAAUGGGCGAGAGCCUGAACCAGCCAAGUCGCGUGAGGGAGUACUGCCCUAUGGGUUGUAAACCUCUUUUGUCGGGGAGCAAAAGCCGGACGUGUCCGGCUGUGAGAGUACCCGAAGAAAAAGCAUCGGCUAACUCCGUGCCAGCAGCCGCGGUAAUACGGAGGAUGCGAGCGUUAUCCGGAUUUAUUGGGUUUAAAGGGUGCGUAGGCGGGAUGCCAAGUCAGCGGUAAAAAUGCGGUGCUCAACGCCGUCGAGCCGUUGAAACUGGCGUUCUUGAGUGGGCGAGAAGUAUGCGGAAUGCGUGGUGUAGCGGUGAAAUGCAUAGAUAUCACGCAGAACUCCGAUUGCGAAGGCAGCAUACCGGCGCCCUACUGACGCUGAGGCACGAAAGCGUGGGUAUCGAACAGGAUUAGAUACCCCAGUAGUC
RNAcentral lists this ribosomal RNA (458 nucleotides) under uncultured bacterium. RNAcentral's name for it is "partial 16S ribosomal RNA". It matches the Rfam family "Bacterial small subunit ribosomal RNA", at positions 338 to 795 of the family's 1533-position model. The record is from RNAcentral.